GCUUUGUGUAUCAUGCUGGUGGUGAUGGUGUAUGAAAUGGGUGAUAUGAUUUAAGAGCAGGAGAUGGUAGGGAAGGAGUUAAUCUUCUCCCUUUUGCUAGAGGAAGGGCCACAGCUGCCUGAACUGAGCAGGGGGAUUUUCAGGGUAGCCAGCUGUGGGGAUUUAAUUGUUUCACCCGCCAGUCUAUAAAGGGGGGGUACCACAGGGUAGCUCUAAAUCCUGUUGUGAUUCAGGAAGGAGGAGGAGGAGGUAAUUUGGAGGGGGCCUUGCUGAAGCACAUGACAAGGAAGAAGAUGGUACUUGUUCACUUAAGUGGCAAACAAUGUUUGGAAGUGAUGUGGCAGUUGCUGGAGACCUGUAUUUGCUUUUUGGCCAAGGCUUCCAAAGAGGUCACUGACAGCACCUUGCUACACUGCAGUCUCUGGGGUAUGUUUGAAGAUGCAGGGGAGAAAAAAGUAGAACACUUGCAGUAAUUUAUUUUCUCUUCUCAUUUUGUUAAUGAUAUCUUUUUGAAGGCUAUGCAGUAAUUACUGCCCACAGAGGUACACACUGAAAUAAAU
This 560-nucleotide long non-coding RNA is filed under the name Phasianus colchicus (ring-necked pheasant). Its description in RNAcentral is "lncRNA (ENSPCLG00000007925.1)". Lineage: Eukaryota; Metazoa; Chordata; Aves; Galliformes; Phasianidae. The record is from RNAcentral.